GAGUGGGGAAUUGCCGAGCUAGUGAACCACCCCGAAAUCCAGAAGAAGUUGAGGAAUGAACUCGACACAGUCCUCGGCCGCGGAGUUCAGAUCACAGAGCCCGACGUUCCUAAACUUCCCUACCUGCAAGCCGUGGUCAAGGAGACUCUCCGACUUCGCAUGGCAAUCCCGCUCCUUGUCCCCCACAUGAACCUCCAGGAUGCCAAGCUCGGGGGGUUUGAUAUUCCGGCGGAGAGCAAGAUAUUGGUGAAUGCUUGGUGGUUGGCAAACAACCCUGCCCUGUGGAAGAAGCCAGAAGAGUUUAGGCCCGAGAGGUUUUUGGAGGAGGAGUCGAAGGUGGA
This 341-nucleotide long non-coding RNA is filed under the name Malus domestica (apple). Its description in RNAcentral is "long non-coding RNA (MDOM_LNC009938)". Lineage: Eukaryota; Viridiplantae; Streptophyta; Magnoliopsida; Rosales; Rosaceae. The record is from RNAcentral.